AGUGAACGCUGGCGGCAGGCCUAAUACAUGCAAGUCGAACGGCAGCACAGUGGAGCUUGCUCCAUGGGUGGCGAGUGGCGGACGGGUGAGGAAUACAUGGGAAUCUGCCCAGUCGUGGGGGAUAACGUAGGGAAACUUACGCUAAUACCGCAUGCGCCCUUCGGGGGAAAGCCGGGGACCUUCGGGCCUGGCGCGAUUGGAUGAGCCCAUGUUCGAUUAGCUAGUUGGCGGGGUAAAGGCCCACCAAGGCGACGAUCGAUAGCUGGUCUGAGAGGAUGAUCAGCCACACUGGGACUGAGACACGGCCCAGACUCCUACGGGAGGUAGCAGUAGGGAAUAUUGGACAAUGGGCGCAAGCCUGAUCCAGCCAUGCCGCGUGAGUGAAGAAGGCCCUCGGGUUGUAAAGCUCUUUUGUCUGGGAAGAAAAGCAUCGGGCUAAUACCUCGGUGUUCUGACGGUACCGGAAGAAUAAGCACCGGCUAACUUCGUG
This 490-nucleotide ribosomal RNA is filed under the name uncultured bacterium. RNAcentral's name for it is "partial 16S ribosomal RNA". It matches the Rfam family "Bacterial small subunit ribosomal RNA", at positions 29 to 507 of the family's 1533-position model. The record is from RNAcentral.